This 524-nucleotide ribosomal RNA is filed under the name uncultured bacterium. RNAcentral's name for it is "partial 16S ribosomal RNA". It matches the Rfam family "Bacterial small subunit ribosomal RNA", at positions 28 to 523 of the family's 1533-position model. The record is from RNAcentral.
GACGAACGCUGGCGGCGUGCCUAAUACAUGCAAGUCGAGCGCAGGAAGCUGACGGAACUCUUCGGAGAGAAGGCAGUGGAAUGAGCGGCGGACGGGUGAGUAACACGUAAGGAACCUGCCUCAAGGAUUGGGAUAACUCCGAGAAAUCGGAGCUAAUACCGGAUAGUUCAACGGACCGCAUGGUCCGCUGAUGAAAGGCGCUUCGGCGUCACCUUGAGAUGGCCUUGCGGUGCAUUAGCUAGUUGGUGGGGUAACGGCCCACCAAGGCGACGAUGGAUAGCCGACCGGGGAGGGUGAUCGGCCACACUGGGACUGAGACACGGCCCAGACUCCUACGGGAGGCAGCAGUAGGGAAUCUUCCACAAUGGACGAAAGUCUGAUGGAGCAACGCCGCGUGAGUGAUGAAGGUUUUCGGAUCGUAAAACUCUGUUGUAAGGGAAGAACACGUACGAGAGGGAAUGCUCGUACCUUGACGGUACCUUACGAGAAAGCCACGGCUAACUACGUGCCAGCCGCCGCCGUAA